This 635-nucleotide long non-coding RNA is filed under the name Helianthus annuus (common sunflower). Its description in RNAcentral is "sRNA HanXRQr2_Chr09g0378261". Lineage: Eukaryota; Viridiplantae; Streptophyta; Magnoliopsida; Asterales; Asteraceae. The record is from RNAcentral.
UUCAAAAUAUCCAAAUAAAUAAACGGCGCUUCGCCUACAAAAAGAAGUGAACUUUUUGUGCUUUAUGCGUAGCGCCUUGGUUCGGUUUGGUUAUGGCACACACCCUAACCAAAACCGACCCACAACUUUCAGUUAACCAGUUAUUGCUUAACCGAACCAUCUUAACUGUUCGGUUGUGUUAAUUCAGUUUGGUUAAUUCCGUUAUUUGCUCUUUUUAAAGCCAAGCAAAUAAGUCCAUUUGACCUCAAACAUUCACACAACUUGUCUAAUUUCAAAUCCAAUUAGGAUUAUGCCACUACUACACUCAAUUCAUUUUACACUUAAAAUACAUUCAAUACCACAAUCAAACCCCUAGAAGCAGAAAAUCAACCUUUUUGCCAGAAUUGUCGAGGAAGAAAACUCUGUAAUCCAGGGUUUCAGGUAGACCUUCCUCCUUGAUCUGGACAUCUGGUCUGUAAAGGGCCGAACAAGCAAAAGUCCUGUUUUUGGAAGCUAAUUUGAAGCAAAAGCUUACGCACUGAGGUUUGAAAAAGGGAGAUGCAGCGGCUUUCAAGAGUAAUGAAGAAGAUGAGGCGCCAAUGGUGGUGGUUGACGCCAUGACUCUAGCAGCUGCCAUUGAUGACGGUAACUGGUAG